Unclassified non-coding RNA from Polistes dominula (European paper wasp), 1961 nucleotides. The record is from RefSeq and is a predicted model, not a curated record. NCBI's taxonomy places the organism in Eukaryota, Metazoa, Arthropoda, Insecta, Hymenoptera, Vespidae.
ACACGGUUUUAUUUAUAUAGUUGGGAAAGUUUAUAGUAUAAUGUCAGUGAUCCCAUUCGUACAAUAAUUAUCGUACGCGUCACAUAAUUUGAAGCAUUGUACGAUCCAAAAUUUAACUUGUACGAUCCAAAAUUCAGCUUGUAUGUAAUUAACGAUAACUCGAAAUUUCGAUAAGUCUUGAUUUUGAUUUUGUUUCGCGAUUUGGUUGUCGGUUGUAGCGCACCCUACCGUACACGGUUAUCAAGUUUGAAAAAGUUGGUACUUUUACUCUUUUUGCAGAUUUGAAAAUCAAAAAGUUAUACAAUUUCUAAAUCUAAAAACUAAUUAAGAAUUAAGAAUAUCAGGAGUGUCAAAUCGAAAAUUCCUAAAAUUCCAAAUUUUUGCCUGUGGGUACGAUAAUUUUUCUGUGUGUACGAUAAUUUUACGGCCCUGUGUCGAUCAGACAAGCUAAAGUCCCUGGGAUCACUGAUCACUGGGGAUCACUGCUCCCAUAAGAGAUGUUACUCCUUACUUUAUUAUUACACGUAAAUACGAACUGGUUAACCUAGUUCGUGAAUGUAAAAAUAAAUUAAAUUAAAUAUACUAAUAUUAAUUUAUUUUUUUUAGAAUUAUUUUUAUUAAAAAAUGGGGAAAUGUUGUGCCGUUUCUGGUUGCCUUAGUGGCCGAAAGGCAAGUGAAAAUUUAGGAAAAGUGGCUUUAUUCAAAGCACCAAAAGAUGUUAAAAUGCUCAGUAAAUGGAGCUCUGCUCUGGGUAAAGAAUUAAAAAAUACCAGUUUCGUUUGUGAAUUACAUUUUAAUCCAAAAGAUGUGAUUAAAAGUAAUCAAGAGAUUCUAAAAGAUGGUAGUAUAUAUAUUUAUGAAUACGACAAAGUUCAUUUGAAGAAGAAUGCUAUACCAAAAUCUAAUGCUACUAACAAUGCUAAUAACGAUGAAAAUAAUUCCAGCUUAUUAUCAAAUGAUGUUCGUCCAAAUUCCUCUGAUAUAAUUAACGAUAAUGUAAUUGGUGACUGUAAUUUAAAUUCUAUUGAGCCUAUUAAUAUAAUAAUCGUAAAUGAAAUGAUAAAAGAAGUAAUUGAACCUGAUAAUAAAAAUUCUGAAAACGCAAAUCUUCCUGAUAAUACAAAUAAUGUGAUUAAUAGUGAUAAUUUGCUGAUCAAAAAUAAUCCUGAAGAGUUUUCUUUAUAUUCCAUAGAAACAAUUUUAGAAACUCAACCACUACGUAAAAAUUGGAGUUGGACAGUCAUUAAAGAUUCAUAUAUUUUAUUAUCGUAUAUAAAUUUGAUAUUGGAAUUAGUUUGUCACGUGAAAAUUUAUAAAAAUCUAAAAGUUACGAUCGAAAAUGCCAAAACGAAUAUCCUUAUUGAUAAGAAUGUAAAUAUUUCAUCAAUUGAUUGUGUUUGGCAGUUAUUAAGCUCUUUAGAAAACAGCUUUUUCUGCAGUGGAACUGGAUACGAUGAGAAAAAAUGUUCGCUACUUUGUACUGGUGUAUUAUUGGCAGAUGAAAGGUAUAAAAAACAAAUGAAGGAGUACAGGUGCAUUAAUUGCCGAAAAUUGAGGCAUUUGAUACAAAGGCGUAAGAAUAAGACAAUCGAUUAUAAAGCACGAUGGAUUAAUGUCAAAAAUCACUUAAUUUUAGAGCUCCGAAAGUUAAAUCGAGUUCUUCAGCAGAAUGUACUUGGAUAAAAAAGUUAAUUUGACCUAAGAGCCAAAAUUUUGAACCCAAGAAUACCAAGCAAGAAUAGACCAAAUUUUGUCUAUUGAGUCAAUUUAACUUUUUAUCAGUAUACAAGGACUGUGACAUCAAUUUUAAAGAGUUUAAAGUAACCGGAAAUUGAAUUUUUCUGUACUUUGUAAUUUCCGAGUCACUGUAAUAAUAAAAGUUUAAAGGAAGAAUUAUUAAAAUUACAAAAGCAAUGUGCUGAAAUUAAAGGAGAAAUAUUGUCUGAGAAAAUUGCCGAUUU